This 253-nucleotide ribosomal RNA is filed under the name uncultured prokaryote. RNAcentral describes it as "partial 16S ribosomal RNA". It matches the Rfam family "Bacterial small subunit ribosomal RNA", at positions 525 to 777 of the family's 1533-position model. The record is from RNAcentral.
ACGUAGGAUCCUAGCGUUGUCCGGAUUUACUGGGUGUAAAGGGUGCGCAGGCGGGCUUAUAAGUCAGUGGUGAAAUCUCGGCGCUUAACGCCGAAACUGCCUUUGAUACUAUAAGUCUUGAGUUUGGUAGAGAUCCGUGGAAUUCCGAGUGUAGCAGUGAAAUGUGUAGAUAUUCGGAAGAACACCAGCGGCGAAGGCAGCGGAUUGGGCCAAUACUGACGCUCAGGCACGAAAGCAUGGGGAUCAAACAGGA